UUCUAAAACAUAAUUUUUAGUAAAAUCUGCUCAAUGAAUAAUUCAAUAGCCGCAACUAUGUUGUGCUAAGGUAGCAUAAUCAUUUGUCUUUUAAUUAAAGACUAGAACGAAAGAUAUCACAUUUAAAUUUCUUUAUCUCAAAUACAAUUUUAAAUUAUUCUAAAUAUUAAAAAAUAUUUAUAAAUUAAAUAGACGACAAGACCCUAUUAAACUUUACUUAAGUUUAACUGGGGUAGUUAAUUAAAUAUUAUUUUAAUAAUUUAUAUAUACUAAACUGACCCAAUUAAAUUGAUUUAUUGAACAAGUUACUAUAGGGAUAACAGCGUAAUAUUUUUUCAUAGAUCUUAUAAAAAAAAAAGUUUACGACCUCGAUGUUGAAUAAUAACCUUUAUAAUGCAAUAAAUCAAAAAGGAAGUCUGUUCGACUUUUAAUUAAUUACA
This 440-nucleotide ribosomal RNA is filed under the name Cicurina sp. MH10. Its description in RNAcentral is "partial 16S ribosomal RNA". The record is from RNAcentral. Lineage: Eukaryota; Metazoa; Arthropoda; Arachnida; Araneae; Dictynidae.